CAACAACAUGGUGGCCGAUUUUGUUAUUUUCGUAUAAAAAAUGAGGGCAGUUAAUGACAAAUACAUCUGAAUUUGCAAUUUAUUUCACGGAGAACAAGUAAAACGAUGUCUUCCAUGAGUUGUUUGUGGUUUUCAACUUUCUGGCAUUACGUUUUCUCCAUGAAACUACAGUAAACAUUGCAAAUUGUGCUCAGUUGUCGUAUGCACAUUUCUUCAAAGACUGAUUCUAUUUGAAUGAAUUAAUGUUGAUGAUCAUUAAUGACCCAUCCAAUAAACGGAUCACCUAUAACAACAGAUUAUGACACCAGUUGUAACCGUUGAUUAGUUUGGGGUUGUAAAACAAAGUCAUAAACUUUUCGCCAGGUAAAAUUUAGUAAUUAGCGGAUCAUAUCAAUACGAACAAAAUAAUAUACAAUCGAUCUUCAA
Molecule: long non-coding RNA, 426 nt
Filed under: Mytilus galloprovincialis (Mediterranean mussel)
Lineage: Eukaryota; Metazoa; Mollusca; Bivalvia; Mytilida; Mytilidae
Source: RNAcentral